This is a transfer RNA of Granulicella mallensis MP5ACTX8, 72 nucleotides long. It matches the Rfam family "tRNA". From Rfam's summary of the family: Transfer RNA (tRNA) molecules are approximately 80 nucleotides in length. Their secondary structure includes four short double-helical elements and three loops (D, anti-codon, and T loops). The record is from Rfam. NCBI's taxonomy places the organism in Bacteria, Pseudomonadati, Acidobacteriota, Terriglobia, Terriglobales, Acidobacteriaceae.
GCUGAUGUAGCUCAGUGGUAGAGCACUCCCUUGGUAAGGGAGAGGUCAUGGGUUCAAGCCCCAUCAUCAGCU